RNAcentral lists this ribosomal RNA (698 nucleotides) under uncultured archaeon. RNAcentral's name for it is "bacterial SSU rRNA". It matches the Rfam family "Archaeal small subunit ribosomal RNA", at positions 84 to 786 of the family's 1478-position model. The record is from RNAcentral.
UACUGCUCAGUAACACGUAGCUAACCUUACUUAAGAUUGAGGAUACCCUCGGGAAACUGAGGAUAAAACUCAAUAAAAGAUGAUUUCUGGAAUGAGUUAUCUUUGAAACGCAAGGUCUUAAGGUGGGGCUGCGGCUGAUUAGGUAGUUGGCGGGGUAAUAGCCCACCAAGCCGAUGAUCAGUAAGGGCUUUUAGCGAAGGGGCCCUGAGAAGGAAUCUGAGACACUAUUCCUAGCCCUACGGGGUGCAGCAGUUAAGAAUUUUUUGCAAUGCGCGCAAGCGUGACAGAGCGAGCCAGAGUGUUUCUCAAUAUGAGAAACUUUUGUUUACUGUAAAAAGGUAGACGAAUAAGGACCGGGCAAGACUGGUGCCAGCCGCCGCGGUAAUACCAGCGGUCCAAGUCGCAACCACAAUUAUUGGGCCUAAAACAUCUGUAGCUUGCUUUACAAGUCUCUUGUGAAAUCUUAUAUCUCAAGUAUAAGGCGUGCAGGAGAUACUGCAGAGCUAGAGACCGGGAGACGUAAGAAGUAUGGUUAAGGUAGUAGUAAAAUACGUUGAUCUUAAUCAGACUAACAACAGCGAAGGCAUCUUACGAGCACGGAUCUGACAGUGAGAGAUGAAGGCUAGGGGCGCGAAAAGGAUNAGAUACCCUUGUAGUCCUAGCAGUAAACACUGCACACUAAACAUUAGUAUCUCCUC